AUACGGAGGAUCCGAGCGUUAUCCGGAUUUAUUGGGUUUAAAGGGUGCGCAGGCGGCCAUUUAAGUCAGCGGUUAAAUCGUGGGGCUCAACCCCAUUCUGCCGUUGAUACUGGGUGGCUUGAUUGCGGUCGAGGUUGGCGGAAUUCGUUGUGUAGCGGUGAAAUGCAUAGAUAUGACGAAGAACACCGAUUGCGAAGGCAGCUCACUAGACUGUUACUGACACUGAUGCUCGAAAGUGUGGGUACCAAACAGGAUUAGAUACCCUGGUAGUCCACACAGUAAACGAUGAAUACUCGCUGUUUGCGAUAUACAGUAAGCGGCUUAGCGAAAGCGUUAAGUAAUCCACCUGGGGAGUACGUUCGCAAGAAUGAAACUUAAAGGAAUUGGCGGGG
This 392-nucleotide ribosomal RNA is filed under the name uncultured bacterium. RNAcentral describes it as "partial 16S ribosomal RNA". It matches the Rfam family "Bacterial small subunit ribosomal RNA", at positions 523 to 918 of the family's 1533-position model. The record is from RNAcentral.